RNAcentral lists this unclassified non-coding RNA (377 nucleotides) under uncultured Gammaproteobacteria bacterium. Its description in RNAcentral is "contains 16S-23S intergenic spacer region". Lineage: Bacteria; Pseudomonadati; Pseudomonadota; Gammaproteobacteria. The record is from RNAcentral.
UCCGGUUUAUCACCGGCAGUCUCCUUAGAGUUCCCGGCCGAACCGCUGGCAACUAAGGACAAGGGUUGCGCUCGUUACGGGACUUAACCCAACAUCUCACGACACGAGCUGACGACAGCCAUGCAGCACCUGUGUCCAGGUUCCCGAAGGCACUUCUCCAUCUCUGGAGAAUUCCUGGCAUGUCAAGGGCAGGUAAGGUUUUUCGCGUUGCAUCGAAUUAAACCACAUGCUCCACCGCUUGUGCGGGCCCCCGUCAAUUCAUUUGAGUUUUAGCCUUGCGGCCGUACUCCCCAGGCGGUCAACUUAUCGCGUUAGCUGCGCCACAAAGAGCCAGAUGCUCCCUACGGCUAGUUGACAUCGUUUACGGCGUGGACUAC